GCCUUCGUGGUGUAGUGGUCAGCACGCAGAACCGGAAUUUCAGAGGUCCGCGGUUUGAUUCCCGGCGAAGGCA
This 73-nucleotide transfer RNA is filed under the name Stegodyphus mimosarum. It matches the Rfam family "tRNA". From Rfam's summary of the family: Transfer RNA (tRNA) molecules are approximately 80 nucleotides in length. Their secondary structure includes four short double-helical elements and three loops (D, anti-codon, and T loops). Further hydrogen bonds mediate the characteristic L-shaped molecular structure. tRNAs have two regions of fundamental functional importance: the anti-codon, which is responsible for specific mRNA codon recognition, and the 3' end, to which the tRNAs corresponding amino acid is attached (by aminoacyl-tRNA synthetases). tRNAs cope with the degeneracy of the genetic code in two manners: having more than one tRNA (with a specific anti-codon) for a particular amino acid; and 'wobble' base-pairing, i.e. permitting non-standard base-pairing at the 3rd anti-codon position. The record is from Rfam by way of RNAcentral. Lineage: Eukaryota; Metazoa; Arthropoda; Arachnida; Araneae; Eresidae.